CGUACACUCCUACGGGAGGCAGCAGUAGGGAAUCUUCGGCAAUGGGGGCAACCCUGACCGAGCAACGCCGCGUGAGUGAAGAAGGUUUUCGGAUCGUAAAGCUCUGUUGUAAGUCAAGAACGAGUGUGAGAGUGGAAAGUUCACACUGUGACGGUAGCUUACCAGAAAGGGACGGCUAACUACGUGCCAGCAGCCGCGGUAAUACGUAGGUCCCGAGCGUUGUCCGGAUUUAUUGGGCGUAAAGCGAGCGCAGGCGGUUUGAUAAGUCUGAAGUUAAAGGCUGUGGCUCAACCAUAGUUCGCUUUGGAAACUGUCAAACUUGAGUGCAGAAGGGGAGAGUGGAAUUCCAUGUGUAGCGGUGAAAUGCGUAGAUAUAUGGAGGAACACCGGUGGCGAAAGCGGCUCUCUGGUCUGUAACUGACGCUGAGGCUCGAAAGCGUGGGGAGCGAACAGGAUUAGAAACCCCUGUAGUCCC
This 475-nucleotide ribosomal RNA is filed under the name uncultured organism. RNAcentral describes it as "partial 16S ribosomal RNA". It matches the Rfam family "Bacterial small subunit ribosomal RNA", at positions 330 to 797 of the family's 1533-position model. The record is from RNAcentral.